Molecule: small nucleolar RNA, 138 nt
Organism: Ornithorhynchus anatinus (platypus)
Lineage: Eukaryota; Metazoa; Chordata; Mammalia; Monotremata; Ornithorhynchidae
Source: RefSeq, a predicted model, not a curated record
ACCCUCUCAAGGCCACACCUGGAGAGUUCCCAGUACUCUAGCAGUGUUGACUACGGGAGGAAGAAUCAGGCAGAGGUAUAUUCAUUCCAUUCCUAGCUUGGACAGUGGCUAGUGAGUGGAAGGCAAUCUGCUACAAGU